Ipomoea nil (Japanese morning glory) is the source of this 1065-nucleotide long non-coding RNA. RefSeq lists it as uncharacterized. The transcript has 2 exons. The record is from RefSeq and is a predicted model, not a curated record. NCBI's taxonomy places the organism in Eukaryota, Viridiplantae, Streptophyta, Magnoliopsida, Solanales, Convolvulaceae.
CUUCCAAAAAACCUCAAAAGGUUGAUACUUAGUGGGACUUUUCUUCCGUGGGAGGACAUGUACAUUAUUGAAAGGUUGCCAAACCUCGAGGUUCUCAAGCUCACAAAAUUUGCCUUCAGCGGUCCAAAGUGGAAACUUGAAGAUGGCAGCAAGUUUGGGUGUUUAAAGCUCUUGCUUAUUGCAUAUUCAGGUCUAGAAUACUGGGAAGUAACUCAUAAAAAUUUCCCAAUCCUAGAGCGCCUAAUCCUAAAAGUUUGCUGGGACUUGAAAGAAAUCCAAAGUGAUUUUGAAAAUAUCAGUACACUAAAACUAAUACAGCUAGACAAUUGUUAUUCUUCCCUUGUGGAAUCUGUAAAGAAAAUUAAAGAAGAUAUCGUGAUUUAUGGAGGCACACUUGUUAUUCGUGAUCUUGAAACUAAGGUCGAUCUCCUAUUCCCCUUCCUUUAUAAUGAAAUAUUGGUCUUAGUCCUCUAUUAUAUUUUAUGAAUUCUUUUUGUUUUUUAGGAAAAUCCCUCAUUCUUAUGUCUUUCAUUUUUAUUUUUUCUCAUUGUAAACUGCUUUUCUAGGAUGGAUUGCCUAAUAAUAAAAAAAUCUCUAAGGAAAUGGGAGCUGUGAUGAUGGAAAUGGAUUAGAAAAUGGAAGCUAUUGUGGGAGAUGAAGAAGCUACGAUGGGAGUAGAUGAGAACUUGAUGAUUCUAUGAAUGAUUAAAACCGGUGUAAGCUAAGGUACAAGAAGAAUUCAAUAUUACUGAAGUCUUGCAAUGCCAGACAAAUCCUCAAGAAGCUGCAAGUCCAUUGUUAGCAAAUUUCUUUCUAAUCUCGUCUUGAUUUAAGUUUUGUGUGUUUUUCCUCUGCUGUUCUUGAAUGUUCAGACUCUCCUGCCACAGACAUUCAUUGUGAUUGUUAUCUAUGUUAGUAUGUAUAUUGUAAUUAUAGUCUGAUGUUCAUGUAAAAAAUUCUAUAUCUCAAGAAUUAGUUAGUCUGUAUUAGAACUAAGAUUGAAGAUUAUUCCCACUAUUUCAUAAAUCUUUGAUUUUGAAAAGGAUGUGAUAUUAAAUUUCUCUA